Molecule: ribosomal RNA, 253 nt
Filed under: uncultured bacterium
Lineage: Bacteria
Description: partial 16S ribosomal RNA
Rfam family: Bacterial small subunit ribosomal RNA
Source: RNAcentral
UACGUACGAGGCGAGCGUUAUCCGGAAUUACUGGGCGUAAAGCGCGCGCAGGCGGGUUGUUAAGUAGGGCGUGAAAUCUCCCGGCCUAACUGGGAGGGGUCGUCCUAAACUGGCAGGCUUGAGGAUGGCAGAGGUAGGUGGAAUUCCUGGUGUAGUGGUGAAAUGCGUAGAGAUCAGGAGGAACACCGGUGGCGAAGGCGGCCUACUGGGCCAUGACUGACGCUGAGGCGCGAAAGCUCGGGGAGCGAACGGG